AUGAGGAGAGAUCAGCUGCCGCAGGUGAGAGACAGACUGACCCACACGGAGGUGCUGAACCGACGUCUGAAGGAGGAUAUCAAUUUUAUGAGGAAACGCGGGCCGCUCGUGCACGAGAGACUCCAGCUGGAAAGUGAAAUCAUCAAGCAGGUCCAAACAGCACAAAGUGAGGCCAGUGAGACGUUUUCAAACAUCUCUCAGAAGCUAAAGAGUCUUCAGGAGAAGUUUAAAAAUGAGGAAUUCAGAGCAGACCUUAGGAAAGGAGAAAUGAACAAAGAAAUGGAAACGAUCAGAAAUCAUCUGAGUGACAAGCAGAGUGAGUUACAGCAGCUGCAGUCUCAGUGUGAGGUGUUUCAAAGAAAAAUUCAAGAGUCGAUAGAAAAACUAACAUUGAGAGUUUGAGAGGCAGGAAACAGACGUACAUGAAGAAACCAGUAUUCAUUUAGAAAACAUUCAACUGCCAGUUUGCUCACAGGAUAUUCGAUCAAAUCCAUUAAAAUAUUAUGAAGACAUUUUACAUUUUUUGGAAUAUUCUGACUGUUACAAUCAUAAGCUCAUGUUACUUCCUUUUUUUUUUUUUAU
Molecule: long non-coding RNA, 582 nt
Filed under: Sinocyclocheilus anshuiensis
Lineage: Eukaryota; Metazoa; Chordata; Actinopteri; Cypriniformes; Cyprinidae
Description: lncRNA (ENSSANG00000018456.1)
Source: RNAcentral